This 444-nucleotide ribosomal RNA is filed under the name uncultured bacterium. RNAcentral describes it as "bacterial SSU rRNA". It matches the Rfam family "Bacterial small subunit ribosomal RNA", at positions 55 to 527 of the family's 1533-position model. The record is from RNAcentral.
AUGCAGUCGAACGGCGUAGGUACUUGGCAUUGCUAAGUACCUACGUAGUGGCGGACGGGUGAGUAACACGUGAGAAUCUGCCUUGAGGACGGGGAUAACAGUAGGAAACCACUGCUAAUACCGGAUAAGCCGAAAGGUGAAAAGAAAUUUGCCUGAAGAGGAGCUCGCGUCUGAUUAGCUAGAUGGUGAGGUAAAAGCUUACCAUGGCGACGAUCAGUAGCUGGUCUGAGAGGAUGAGCAGCCACACUGGGACUGAGACACGGCCCAGACUCCUACGGGAGGCAGCAGUGGGGAAUUUUCCGCAAUGGGCGCAAGCCUGACGGAGCAAUACCGCGUGAGGGAGGAAGGCUCUUGGGUUGUAAACCUCAAAAAUUAGGGAAGAAGAAAGUGACGGUACCUAAUGUAAGCAUCGGCUAACUCCGUGCCAGCAGCCGCGGUAAUACG